UAGCUUGCUACGAACUGAUGAGAGUGGCGCACGGGUGCGUAACGCGUGAGCAACCUACCCAUAUCAGGGGGAUAGCCUCUCGAAAGAGAGAUUAACACCGCAUAACAUCAUUUACCGGCAUCGGUUUUUGAUCAAAUAUUUAUAGGAUAUGGAUGGGCUCGCGUGACAUUAGCUAGUUGGAGAGGUAACGGCUCACCAAGGCUACGAUGUCUAGGGGCUCUGAGAGGAGAAUCCCCCACACUGGUACUGAGACACGGACCAGACUCCUACGGGAGGCAGCAGUAAGGAAUAUUGGUCAAUGGAGGCAACUCUGAACCAGCCAUGCCGCGUGCAGGAUGACUGCCCUAUGGGUUGUAAACUGCUUUUGUCAGGGAAUAAACCUUUCUACGUGUAGGAAGCUGAAUGUACCUGAAGAAUAAGGAUCGGCUAACUCCGUGCCAGCAGCCGCGGUAAUACGGAGGAUCCAAGCGUUAUCCGGAUUUAUUGGGUUUAAAGGGUGCGUAGGCGGUCCUAUAAGUCAGUGGUGAAAGACGGCAGCUUAACUGUCGCAGUGCCUUUGAUACUGUAGGACUUGAAUCUAUUUGAAGUGGGCGGAAUAAGACAAGUAGCGGUGAAAUGCAUAGAUAUGUCUUAGAACUCCGAUUGCGAAGGCAGCUCACUAAGUUAGUAUUGACGCUGAUGCACGAAAGCGUGGGGAUCAAACAGGAUUAGAUACCCUGGUAGUCCACGCCCUAAACGAUGAUAACUCGAUGUUUGCGAUACACAGUAAGCGUCCAAGCGAAAGCGUUAAGUUAUCCACCUGGGGAGUACGGUCGCAAGAUUGAAACUCAAAGGAAUUGACGGGGGCCCGCACAAGCGGAGGAGCAUGUGGUUUAAUUCGAUGAUACGCGAGGAACCUUACCCGGGCUUGAAAGUUAGUGAAUGAUCCAGAGACGGAUCAGUCCUUCGGGACACGAAACUAGGUGCUGCAUGGCUGUCGUCAGCUCGUGCCGUGAGGUGUUGGGUUAAGUCCCGCAACGAGCGCAACCCCUAUGUUUAGUUGCCAGCAUGUAAUGAUGGGGACUCUAAACAGACUGCCAGCGUAAGCUGUGAGGAAGGUGGGGACGACGUCAAGUCAUCAUGGCCCUUACGUCCGGGGCUACACACGUGCUACAAUGGACGGUACAGCGGGCAGCUACAUAGCAAUAUGAUGCUAAUCUCUAAAAGCCGUUCACAGUUCGGAUUGAGGUCUGCAACUCGACCUCAUGAAGUUGGAUUCGCUAGUAAUCGCGUAUCAGC
This 1278-nucleotide ribosomal RNA is filed under the name Sphingobacterium sp. NSJ-12. RNAcentral's name for it is "bacterial SSU rRNA". It matches the Rfam family "Bacterial small subunit ribosomal RNA", at positions 76 to 1353 of the family's 1533-position model. Lineage: Bacteria; Pseudomonadati; Bacteroidota; Sphingobacteriia; Sphingobacteriales; Sphingobacteriaceae. The record is from RNAcentral.